Molecule: transfer RNA, 84 nt
Organism: Pantoea ananatis LMG 20103
Lineage: Bacteria; Pseudomonadati; Pseudomonadota; Gammaproteobacteria; Enterobacterales; Erwiniaceae
Rfam family: tRNA
About the family: Transfer RNA (tRNA) molecules are approximately 80 nucleotides in length.
Source: Rfam
GCGAAGGUGGCGGAAUUGGUAGACGCGCUAGCUUCAGGUGUUAGUGUCUUAACGGACGUGAGGGUUCAAGUCCCUCUCUUCGCA